UAUUGCGCAAUGGGGGCAACCCUGACGCAGCCAUGCCGCGUGAAUGAAGAAGGCCUUCGGGUUGUAAAGUUCUUUCGGUGAUGAGGAAGGAGGAUGUUUAAAUAGGGCAUUCAAUUGACGUUAAUCACAGAAGAAGCACCGGCUAACUCCGUGCCAGCAGCCGCGGUAAUACGGAGGGUGCGAGCGUUAAUCGGAAUAACUGGGCGUAAAGGGCACGCAGGCGGAUAAUUAAGUGAGAUGUGAAAUCCCCGAGCUUAACUUGGGAAUUGCAUUUCAUACUGGUUAUCUAGAGUCUUGUAGAGAGGGGUAGAAUUCCACGUGUAGCGGUGAAAUGCGUAGAGAUGUGGAGGAAUACCGGAGGGGAAGGCGGCCCCUGGACAAAGACUGACGCUCAUUCGAAGC
This 402-nucleotide ribosomal RNA is filed under the name uncultured bacterium. Its description in RNAcentral is "bacterial SSU rRNA". It matches the Rfam family "Bacterial small subunit ribosomal RNA", at positions 362 to 760 of the family's 1533-position model. The record is from RNAcentral.